CUGGCGGCGUGCUUAACACAUGCAAGUCGAACGCGAAAGGGACUUCGGUCCUGAGUAAAGUGGCGCACGGGUGAGUAACGCGUAGAUAACCUGUCUUUAUGUCUGGAAUAAUACGCCGAAAGGGGUACUAAUACCGGAUAUUUUUGUCAUUGCAUAAGCAGUGUAAGCAAAGGUGGCCUCUGACAUAAGCUACUGCAUAAAGAGGGGUCUGCGUACCAUUAGCUAGUAGGUGGGUAAAGGCCUACCUAGGCUACGAUGGUUAGCGGGUCUGAGAGGAUGAUCCGCCACACUGGCACUGGAACACGGGCCAGACUCCUACGGGAGGCAGCAGUGAGGAAUAUUGCGCAAUGGGGGCAACCCUGACGCAGCGACGCCGCGUGAGUGAAGGAAGGCCUUCGGGUCGUAAAGCUCUGUCAAAGGGAAAGAAGUGCAUGGUGAUUAAUACCUGCCAUGUUUGACGGUACCCUUAAAGGAAGCACCGGCUAACUCCGUGCCAGCCGCUGC
This 504-nucleotide ribosomal RNA is filed under the name uncultured bacterium. RNAcentral's name for it is "bacterial SSU rRNA". It matches the Rfam family "Bacterial small subunit ribosomal RNA", at positions 36 to 518 of the family's 1533-position model. The record is from RNAcentral.